AGUCAUCAACCCCGAACGUUUCUUGCGGAGCGUGCGGCGGUUGGAUCUGGGGGCUCUGCCGAUCGUGCGCGAGCCGGCUCCCCUCAAAUGCUUCGGUUGGGCCUGUGGGUCGAACUCGACUGGGCGUUGUACCAUCCUCGCUCGAACGAGAGGGACCCCUCUUGCGCCCUUCCUCGACCAGCCCCUCUGACGGGGCGGUCAAUCAAGCUUUGAA
Molecule: unclassified non-coding RNA, 214 nt
Filed under: uncultured Trechispora
Lineage: Eukaryota; Fungi; Basidiomycota; Agaricomycetes; Polyporales; Polyporaceae
Description: sequence contains ITS2
Source: RNAcentral